UUCGAUGAACUUUAAACGCGAGUAAACAGCCGCUGCGGGCCACGUCGCACGGUCGCACGUGUCGCAAAAUCCAAAAUAAAAAAAAAAACCCAACAAAUUAAAUUGUGUAAAUUAUCGCACAACCGAGGCGAAUUUCGUGAUACGCGGAAAACAUUGUGCGAAAUCGAAAGUGAAACGCAGCGAGCGCCUCAAGCUUAGGCCCAAGAAGGUUCUGCCUCUAAACGAAAUAACGAAAAACUGUAAAAAACAACCUUGAAGGCAGUGUUAACCAAAGAAAAGUAAAUAAAUAAAUAGCAGAGACAAAAACCAUUGCAGAAUAUGUGCGUGUUCGUGUGUGUGCGUGCACAGACCACGCUCAAAUCUUAAUUGCAGACAUUCAGUAUUAAAUAAUUAAAAACUAGCCUUGUGAAGGUUAAACGUGUCACAAUUUCCAAAAUGUUAUCUUAAAUUCCACGGAAAGGCUUAGGCCAUGUUUAGGCAUGUUCCACAAUUCGUUCUGCUAAUUAGGCGAAGCAAAUAAACAAAAUGAAAAUAUACUUGAAUAUCAAGUCAAGUGUCUUAAAUCGCGUGCUUCAAUCGAAGGAAAUUAAUUUGAAUAAAUAUUAAACACCUAAAAAAGUACAAUAAUUGAAAACUUUACUUCAUACAUAACAACAACAACAACAACAAGCACCCGGCAUCGAGGCGCUCGAACUACAUCGCGAGAAACCGAGCGUUCUGAUCACGUCGCCCGGCUCACCGGAUCUGCUGAUUAGUGG
This 758-nucleotide unclassified non-coding RNA is filed under the name Drosophila virilis. Its description in RNAcentral is "GJ23976". The record is from RNAcentral. Lineage: Eukaryota; Metazoa; Arthropoda; Insecta; Diptera; Drosophilidae.